This 1369-nucleotide ribosomal RNA is filed under the name Quadrisphaera sp. Its description in RNAcentral is "bacterial SSU rRNA". It matches the Rfam family "Bacterial small subunit ribosomal RNA". Lineage: Bacteria; Bacillati; Actinomycetota; Actinomycetes; Kineosporiales; Kineosporiaceae. The record is from RNAcentral.
CGAACGGUGAAGCCUUCGGGUGGAUCAGUGGCGAACGGGUGAGUAACACGUGAGCAACCUGCCCCUGACUCUGGGAUAACUCCGGGAAACCGGGGCUAAUACCGGAUAUGACCGCGUAUCGCAUGGUGUGCGGUGGAAAGUUUUUCGGUUGGGGAUGGGCUCGCGGCCUAUCAGCUUGUUGGUGGGGUGAUGGCCUACCAAGGCGACGACGGGUAGCCGGCCUGAGAGGGUGACCGGCCACACUGGGACUGAGACACGGCCCAGACUCCUACGGGAGGCAGCAGUGGGGAAUAUUGCGCAAUGGGCGGAAGCCUGACGCAGCGACGCCGCGUGAGGGAUGAAUGCCUUCGGGUUGUAAACCUCUUUCAGCAGGGAAGAAGCGAAAGUGACGGUACCUGCAGAAGAAGCACCGGCUAACUACGUGCCAGCAGCCGCGGUAAUACGUAGGGUGCAAGCGUUGUCCGGAAUUAUUGGGCGUAAAGAGCUCGUAGGCGGUUUGUCGCGUCUGCUGUGAAAACUCAGGGCUUAACCCUGAGCUUGCAGUGGGUACGGGCAGACUAGAGUGCAGUAGGGGAGACUGGAAUUCCUGGUGUAGCGGUGAAAUGCGCAGAUAUCAGGAGGAACACCGGUGGCGAAGGCGGGUCUCUGGGCUGUAACUGACGCUGAGGAGCGAAAGCGUGGGGAGCGAACAGGAUUAGAUACCCUGGUAGUCCACGCCGUAAACGUUGGGCGCUAGGUGUGGGUCUCAUUCCACGAGGUCUGUGCCGCAGCUAACGCAUUAAGCGCCCCGCCUGGGGAGUACGGCCGCAAGGCUAAAACUCAAAGGAAUUGACGGGGCCCCGCACAAGCGGCGGAGCAUGCGGAUUAAUUCGAUGCAACGCGAAGAACCUUACCAAGGCUUGACAUUCAGGGUAAACCAUCAGAAAUGGUGGGUCCGCAAGGGAUCUUGAACAGGUGGUGCAUGGUUGUCGUCAGCUCGUGUCGUGAGAUGUUGGGUUAAGUCCCGCAACGAGCGCAACCCUCGUUCUAUGUUGCCAGCGCGUGAUGGCGGGGACUCAUAGGAGACUGCCGGGGUCAACUCGGAGGAAGGUGGGGAUGACGUCAAAUCAUCAUGCCCCUUAUGUCUUGGGCUUCACGCAUGCUACAAUGGCCAGUACAAAGGGCUGCGAGACCGCGAGGUGGAGCGAAUCCCAAAAAGCUGGUCUCAGUUCGGAUCGGGGUCUGCAACUCGACCCCGUGAAGUUGGAGUCGCUAGUAAUCGCAGAUCAGCAACGCUGCGGUGAAUACGUUCCCGGGGCUUGUACACACCGCCCGUCACGUCACGAAAGUCGGUAACACCCGAAGCCGAUGGCCCAACCGCUUGCGGAGG